This 102-nucleotide small nuclear RNA is filed under the name Jaculus jaculus (lesser Egyptian jerboa). The record is from RNAcentral. Lineage: Eukaryota; Metazoa; Chordata; Mammalia; Rodentia; Dipodidae.
AUGCUAGCUUCGGCAGCACAUAUACUAAAAAAAAUAUGGAGAAGAUUAGCAUGGCUCCUGUGCAAGGAAGACGUGCAAAUUUGUGAAGGGUUCCAUUAAAAA